This 444-nucleotide ribosomal RNA is filed under the name uncultured Bacteroidota bacterium. RNAcentral's name for it is "bacterial SSU rRNA". It matches the Rfam family "Bacterial small subunit ribosomal RNA", at positions 917 to 1359 of the family's 1533-position model. The record is from RNAcentral. Lineage: Bacteria; Pseudomonadati; Bacteroidota.
GGGCCCGCACAAGCGGAGGAACAUGUGGUUUAAUUCGAUGAUACGCGAGGAACCUUACCCGGGCUCGAACGGCAGAUGUAUAUAGAUGAAAGUUUAUAGCUAGCAAUAGCAUUUGUCGAGGUGCUGCAUGGUUGUCGUCAGCUCGUGCCGUGAGGUGUCGGCUUAAGUGCCAUAACGAGCGCAACCCUUACCGUUAGUUACCAUCAGGUAAAGCUGGGGACUCUAGCGGGACUGCCACCGUAAGGUGUGAGGAAGGUGGGGAUGACGUCAAAUCAGCACGGCCCUUACGUCCGGGGCUACGACACGUGUUACAAUGGAUGGGACAGAAAGCAGCUACCUGGCGACAGGAUGCUAAUCUCCAAACCCAUUACCCAGUUCGGAUCGAAGUCUGCAACCCGACUUCGUGAAGCUGGAUUCGCUAGUAAUCGCGCAUCAGCCAUGGCG